Molecule: ribosomal RNA, 567 nt
Filed under: Triticum aestivum (bread wheat)
Lineage: Eukaryota; Viridiplantae; Streptophyta; Magnoliopsida; Poales; Poaceae
Description: partial small subunit ribosomal RNA
Source: RNAcentral
AUGAUUAUUCGUUCGCCGGAACCAGAAGUAAAAAUUGUUGUGGAUAGGGAUCCUGUAAAAACAUCUUUUGAGGAAUGGGACAGACCCGGCCAUUUCUCAAGAACACUAUCUAAGGGCCCUGAUACUACCUCUUGGAUCUGGAACCUACAUGCUGAUGCUCACGAUUUUGAUAGUCAUACUGGGGAUUUGGAGAAGACCAAUUGGGGUAUUGGCCAUGAACUUAAAGAUAUUUUGGAGGCUCACAAGGGCCCAUUUACAAGACAAGGCCAUAAGGGUUUUCACAGUUUUGGCUUGUACAUUCAUAAUGAUACCAUGAGUGCUUUAGGCCAUCCACAAGAUAUGUUUUCGGAUACUGCCAUACAAUUACAACCUAUCUUUGCUCAAUGGGUACAAAAUAUCCAUGCUACUGCACCUGGCGUAACAGCUCAUGGUGCAACAACAAGUACUAGCUUAACGUGGGGAGGCGGCGAGUUAGUAGCAGUAGGUGGCAAAGUGGCUUUGUUACCUAUUCCAUUAGGAACCGCAGAUUUUUUAGUCAACACAUUCAUGCAUUUACCAUACAUGUGA